ACGGAAGGCAGCAGUGGGGAAUAUUGCACAAUGGGCGAAAGCCUGAUACAGCGACGCCGCGUGAGUGAUGAAGUAUUUCGGUAUGUAAAGCUCUAUCAGCAGGGAAGAUAAUGACGGUACCUGACUAAGAAGCACCGGCUAAAUACGUGCCAGCAGCCGCGGUAAUACGUAUGGUGCAAGCGUUAUCCGGAUUUACUGGGUGUAAAGGGAGCGCAGGCGGUACGGCAAGUCUGAUGUGAAAGCCCGGGGCUCAACCCCGGUACUGCAUUGGAAACUGUCGAACUAGAGUGUCGGAGGGGUAAGUGGAAUUCCUAGUGUAGCGGUGAAAUGCGUAGAUAUUAGGAGGAACACCAGUGGCGAAGGCGACUUACUGGACGAUAACUGACGCUGAGGCUCGAAAGCGUGGGGAGCAAACAGGAUUAGAUACCCUGGUA
RNAcentral lists this ribosomal RNA (434 nucleotides) under uncultured Roseburia sp. RNAcentral describes it as "partial 16S ribosomal RNA". It matches the Rfam family "Bacterial small subunit ribosomal RNA", at positions 341 to 792 of the family's 1533-position model. The record is from RNAcentral. Lineage: Bacteria; Bacillati; Bacillota; Clostridia; Lachnospirales; Lachnospiraceae.